GACCUUCUUCCCCAAAAAAGAAGAACCACCAUUUUCUUCUUUCAAGUUAACCUUGUAGAGAGAUUUCAAGUGAUAGCUGCAAAAUCUUGAAAGGAAAGGGUUAAGUUGGGAUGAAGAUGGAAGUGUGCUGAGCUGGAGCUUUUUGUUUAUGUAAAUAGUAAUAGGCUCAGGAUGUUGUGUCUUCAUACAUAACGUCCAAUGAUGUACUCCGCUGCAACACUUUAAUUCUCUUAUCACUUUUGACGUGUUGUAGAACGUUUUAAAACCUUAACCUGUAUAUGAGCUUGACGAAUCUUGGUUAUGAUGUUUAUUUGGUUUAAACUUCUUUUGUUAAAGUUUGAUGGUGACGAACCUCUUGAGAUUCAUUGAUUAUAUAUGUGAGUUGUUAAUUAUUUAUU
Long non-coding RNA from Salvia miltiorrhiza (redroot sage), 398 nucleotides. RefSeq lists it as uncharacterized. The transcript is spliced from 2 exons. NCBI's taxonomy places the organism in Eukaryota, Viridiplantae, Streptophyta, Magnoliopsida, Lamiales, Lamiaceae. The record is from RefSeq and is a predicted model, not a curated record.